GCGCCCAUAGCUCAGUUGGAUAGAGCACUUGACUACGAAUCAAGGGGUCGGGGGUUCGAAUCCCUCUGGGCGCACCA
Molecule: transfer RNA, 77 nt
Filed under: Deltaproteobacteria bacterium
Lineage: Bacteria; Pseudomonadati; Myxococcota; Myxococcia
Description: tRNA-Arg
Rfam family: tRNA
About the family: Transfer RNA (tRNA) molecules are approximately 80 nucleotides in length. Their secondary structure includes four short double-helical elements and three loops (D, anti-codon, and T loops). Further hydrogen bonds mediate the characteristic L-shaped molecular structure. tRNAs have two regions of fundamental functional importance: the anti-codon, which is responsible for specific mRNA codon recognition, and the 3' end, to which the tRNAs corresponding amino acid is attached (by aminoacyl-tRNA synthetases). tRNAs cope with the degeneracy of the genetic code in two manners: having more than one tRNA (with a specific anti-codon) for a particular amino acid; and 'wobble' base-pairing, i.e. permitting non-standard base-pairing at the 3rd anti-codon position.
Source: RNAcentral